UGGGGAAUAUUGGACAAUGGGGGCAACCCUGAUCCAGCAAUGCCGCGUGUGUGAAGAAGGCCUUAGGGUUGUAAAGCACUUUCACCUGGGAAGAUGAUGACGGUACCGGGAGAAGAAGCCCCGGCUAACUCCGUGCCAGCAGCCGCGGUAAUACGGAGGGGGCUAGCGUUGUUCGGAAUUACUGGGCGUAAAGGGCGUGUAGGCGGCGGUUCAAGUUGGGCGUGAAAGCCCGGGGCUCAACCUCGGAGGUGCGCUCAAUACUGGAUUGCUUGAGGACGGGAGAGGGUAGUGGAAUUCCCAGUGUAGAGGUGAAAUUCGUAGAUAUUGGGAAGAACACCGGUGGCGAAGGCGGCUACCUGGCCCGUGACUGACGCUGAGGCGCGAAAGCGUGGGGAGCAAACAGGAUUAGAUACCCCCGUAGUCC
Molecule: ribosomal RNA, 424 nt
Filed under: uncultured prokaryote
Description: bacterial SSU rRNA
Rfam family: Bacterial small subunit ribosomal RNA
Source: RNAcentral